Molecule: non-coding RNA, 328 nt
Filed under: Anaerobacillus isosaccharinicus
Lineage: Bacteria; Bacillati; Bacillota; Bacilli; Caryophanales; Bacillaceae
Description: Anaerobacillus sp. NB2006 cspA thermoregulator
Rfam family: cspA thermoregulator
Source: Rfam by way of RNAcentral
AAUAAUUUCACAUGGGUAUAAUAACAGAGCAAGUAAAUUUGCAAUUUCAUGUAUUUGCUACAUGCUAGGAGGAAACAAAAAUGGAACAUGGUAAAGUUAAAUGGUUUAACAGUGAAAAAGGUUUUGGGUUCAUUGAGCGUGAUGGUGGGGAUGACGUAUUCGUUCACUUCUCAGCUAUUCAAGGCGAGGGUUACAAAUCAUUAGAUGAAGGUCAAGAAGUAACUUUUGACAUCGAAAAUGGUCAACGUGGUCCACAAGCGACUAACGUUCGUAAAGCAUAAAAAUAGUGAACCAAGUGACAGAUCCUAUUCAUUUAGGGUCUGUUUUU